UCAAAUCUUGCUUCCAUUUUAUCACGAGGAUUGCUUAGCAUUUAUGCUCACUAUUAUAAAAGCUGCAUACUUAUUUGGCGCGCAGAUCCGCCGCUGUUUUAGUCCACCGUGAAUCUCAAGCUUCUUCCGCCGCAAACCGCUCACAUGUUCAAAGACCACGUGCUUCCCACAUGCGUCCCACACUUCGCCUCGCGUCUUCCAUGCUGACUUUUAAUAGUAUACAAAUAAGUAUAACUUUUUUUUGUCAACUAACAAUAUAACUUAUAUACAAGUAUAUUAUAGAGGUCAUUAGCUAGUUUCUCAAUUUUUUAACACAAGUGUUGUUUUAUUUUUCUCGUGUACUUCAAUAUGGAGUAGGAGAUAAUUUUCUAAAGUUUGCGUAAGCGUAAAUAUAAGCAUGUACUUGGUAAUGAUGCAAUGCAAAUUACUAGCUAGACAUUACGUAUCGCGUAUAUCGUGCAUGCAUUUUAUCAGCAUGAUCCUUGACCAAGAUAAAACUGUCCGCCCAGGUAAUUAAUCGUAUUCUAAGUACAUUCAAAAUGUUAACCACGGACAAUAUUGCACGAGUUUAUCUUAGUCUUUUUUUUUCGUGUGGUCAGGGAUUUGUAUCAGAGCUUGGAUAUACGUAGCGAUUCGAUAAACUCGAGUUGUUCGGAAAAAUGCGGCUAGGAAUAAAAUACAGUAAUACACAACAAGAUAAGAUGGCGAAAGGUUCAGACUUUUGCUAGAAAAUGGAGGAAUGUAAUAUAAAAUUGGUGAUAUAAUAUAGCGAUGAUAAUGGUUGAGUUCUCCGCCAAUCCAUUUCUAACGCUCUAGAGAC
RNAcentral lists this long non-coding RNA (820 nucleotides) under Brassica napus (rape). RNAcentral describes it as "long non-coding RNA (BNAP_LNC006449)". Lineage: Eukaryota; Viridiplantae; Streptophyta; Magnoliopsida; Brassicales; Brassicaceae. The record is from RNAcentral.